AUGGGGCUAAGUAGGUGUGUGCACCUGGGGCUUGCCUUUGCGCACACGCACCACGCCGAACCCUGGUGUUUCGGCUUCAUCCUCGCGAGAAGCCCUCGAUUAAAACCGCGGGCACCAGCACCCCUCAUGUCCGUUCCCCCGGGCAGUGCGACGCGGUGCGUCAGGUCUGAGCUAAUCUACGACAGGGGGCUCACAAGACGCAAAUGUGCUGGCCUUCAUGAUUCCAGGACUUGGAAUCAUACCAGCCGAUGGUACCAUAUAAAUGGAAAUAACCGAUGCAAGUCAAAGAAGGAUUGGUCGGUGCUGCCGGCUGGCAUCAAGUUUGAUCCCACGGAUCAGGAGCUGAUCGAGCACCUUGAGGCCAAAGUGGGUGCUGACUGCACGCGAUCUCACCCUCUCAUCGGUUUGUUCAUACCAACCAUUGACAGCGAGCACGGCAUAUGCUACACCCAUCCUGAGAAACUUCCAGGUAUCACACUAAGUGGCCUAAGCAAGCAUUUCUUCCAGGACAACUCCAAGGCGUUCAAAAGGGGCACGUGGACGCGUCGCAAGAUACAGUCGGAGUGCGGCAUGCACGCGAUGUGGCACAAGACCGGCAAUACCUUGAUGGUGAUGGUCAACGGCCGGCAGACGGGCAGUAAAAAGGUUCUGUUGCUGCACACCAACAAGAACUUCGACCAGCAGAGGACCAACUAG
Molecule: ribosomal RNA, 696 nt
Filed under: Triticum aestivum (bread wheat)
Lineage: Eukaryota; Viridiplantae; Streptophyta; Magnoliopsida; Poales; Poaceae
Description: partial small subunit ribosomal RNA
Source: RNAcentral